UUAUCGCCCGCGUCAUUUCGGCUCGAAAAGGCCGGCUUUGCGCAUGGGCUGCAGGCUCCUGCUCAGGGGGCGCUCGGCGUGCUUGAUGGGGGGCGGCAGGUGGCGGCCUGUGCCUGACCCCUGUGAUGCUCAGCCCCCAGCCCUUCCCCCUAAAGGCAUCUACUCAUCGAGCUCUAAUGGCCCGAGUUAAUUAAGGAACUUCCAAGGGACUCGCGAGGCAGGGUAAUGCAGCUGCUCCCCAUUUAUCUGGGCUUGGGACCGGCACGAAGAAACACACUGGUUUGUGCAUCCGCUGUGGCUGCGUUACCAUAUUGAAGAGAUGAUGACAUACAUGAAAUACCAACGGGUUGCCAGUUUUGAAAAGACCUUUCCUAUGCAAUAACACGGUGUGGCCAGGUGCAGGAAUGACAAGCUGCUGGGAAAAAAAAUCUGUGGUACCAACUGGGUUGUCCCAUUUAAUAAACGUCAGAAAAUAAAUAAAAGAACUGCUGCUUAGGCAUUGUUGCACUUGUCUCUGUGUUGCAAAACACAGAAAAUUAAAGCUUGGUUUUGUA
Molecule: long non-coding RNA, 554 nt
Organism: Polypterus senegalus (gray bichir)
Lineage: Eukaryota; Metazoa; Chordata; Cladistia; Polypteriformes; Polypteridae
Exons: 2
Source: RefSeq, a predicted model, not a curated record